Long non-coding RNA from Nicotiana attenuata, 479 nucleotides. RefSeq lists it as uncharacterized. The record is from RefSeq and is a predicted model, not a curated record. Lineage: Eukaryota; Viridiplantae; Streptophyta; Magnoliopsida; Solanales; Solanaceae. The transcript is spliced from 2 exons.
UGAGUUAGAAAAGUCUUCUAUAAAAGGAGAACACAAGUUUAAGAAACAUUCUUAAAAUAUCCUUAGUUCCACUAAUUAAGAAAGUCUACCAGUUCCAAGCUCUGAUAAGGAUUUAACUAUGGCUACUAAUGGACCAAGUUGGGCAGAUCAAUGGGGUGCAGGAGGGAUAGGUGCCAUGGAUGAAGAUGACAGUUAUUAUAAGAGCAACAAAGAAAAUGGAAAUAACAAGAAAACCAGUGCAGGAAUUGGCAAAGUGAAAGCAGUAGCAAUUGCAGGUGCACAGAAAGUGAAAAAUGGCCCUUCUAUGGUCAUCAAAUGGGUUAGGAGCAAAUCACAAAAGAAAAACAACUCCAUUUCAUGAAUAGAGAUAGAGAUUAUCUCAUCUUUGUCUGGCCUUGUGUAAGAACAUUCAAGAUUUCAGAUCAAAUGUGUCAAAAUAGGGGCCUUAAAUAAACUUAUGGAUUGUUAUGCUUCAUUCA